Molecule: long non-coding RNA, 1554 nt
Organism: Pecten maximus
Lineage: Eukaryota; Metazoa; Mollusca; Bivalvia; Pectinida; Pectinidae
Exons: 2
Source: RefSeq, a predicted model, not a curated record
UGUCUUUCAUCAAUCUAUUAUCUUUGAUCUAUUGUCUUUCAUUUGUAUACUGUCUUCUGUUAAUCUAUUGUCUUUCAUUAUUCUAUUGUCUUUCAUUAAUCUAUUGUCUGUCAUUAAUCUAUUGUCUUUUAUCAAUCUUUUGUCUUUAAUCUAUUAUGUUUAAUCUAUUGUCUUACAUUAAUAUGUCUUUCAUUAAUCUAUUGUCUUUCAUCAAUCUAUUGUCUUUAAUCUAUUAUCUUUGAUCUAUUGUCUUUCAUUAUUAUACUGUCUUCUGUUAAUCUAUUGUCUUUCAUUCAUCUAUUGUCUUUAUACCUGAACAAAACACCUAAUAAGUGACCAUAUUCACUAAAGCUAAAGAUAAUAAUUAUAUUAGAUUAUUCAAAGAAACUAAGAACUCAAUGUCUUCAGAAAAUAAUGUAACAGCUAUUAUAUCAUCUCUCCUCAUGUCACUUUGACAGUGGUGUACAACUUAAAAUUAAUGCAUUCCAAAGGUGUCAUGUGAUAAAUGUAUACUUAAGUAUUUUUCCCUGGUCAAUAUUUUUUCAGGUUAAUAAAACCAUAUAUCAACCUAAUCAAAAGGCUAUAAUUGUAUCUAUGUAUUGUCAUGAGUGUGAUUUGUAUAUAUUUUUAGCAAAUCACUGUUUAUUCUCAAUCUUCAAAUAUGGGUUCCUCUGUAUUAAGUUGUGCUUAUUUGAUUUCGAGUCUGAUCCAGAUUACAAAACCACUGACACGAUCAGUCAUCCUUGAUUUUGACAGUUGAAGUCCUGGAAUUAUGAAUGAAGAAAAAGGGAAAGAAAUGAGAAGUAGAGAAAAGAUUUGUCUCUUAUCAAACUAAUAUACAUGUAUAUCAUUCAAUGGUGGGUGAUCCCUCCAUGAUCUCUUAUUUAUGUACAAGGUCUGAUGUUGUUGUAUUAUGUAAUUGUUGUAUUUGAAUGGUUUGAAUCAUUUACUGCAUAAUAUAUUCAUUUGCUUGCCCUUUUUUUCCUUUUUUUUUAUUAUUAUUAUUUUGGCAUUUAUACUAGUGAAUUUUAGGGCUCUGAUAUUUGAGUCCUGGAUCAAGUGGUUUCCUGUGAGACUCACGGAUUACCCACCAUGGUACAUUGUGUCACUGUGUAUAUAUAUCUCUUUACAUCAAAGGGUUUUAAAUUGUGUUGUGGACUUUAUUGAUAGAAUCUUACAAACCUUACCAUUUAAUAUUAACAUUUAUCAGCUUUUGACAUGAUUGUAAGACGUAGUAUAUUUUGCAAGGUAAAUCAUUUAUGUUUUUUUUUCUUUUUUUUUUGCUUUUAGUCAAAAAUCCUAAUUAAAAAAUAAUAUGCCUUGAUUAAUUGAUUUAAUUUACAAAAUUCACUCAUUGCAAAGCUGAUGAAAAAAAAUGUACAUUCAUUGUAACUAAGUAAGCAUGACAUUUUUGUAUUUUUUGUUUCAUGCAAUAUGUAAGUUUAAAGAACAACUGAUUUAGAUUUCAUUUGAAUACUGAAUGAACUCAUAUUUUGAUGGAAAUAUUCUUUUUUCAAUAUUCUAUUUUGAUAAAUAAAUUUUGAGAAAAUAUAA